AGGUGAGACGUGGUCUUGUAACACAGUGGUUAAGAAUGUGACUUUGGAGCCAGCCUGCUAGGGGCUGAAUUCUGACUCAGCCAUUUACUAACUGUGUGACCUUAGGUCACAGAAUUUUCCACACUCCUUGACGGAGGUGCUUAACCCUUAUCCAUCAGCAUUCUCAGACAGCACCUCCGGUUAGGGACAGUAUCUGACCGUCCGACAUCCCUGCAGCCCCCAUGUGUCACACAGACUCAGCCUCAGGUAGAUGGUUUCCGUAGAUGGUGGCUUUCUUUGGACCCUUGACAUCAACCAGUUACUAUUUGACUCUUCUGCAGAACCCCCUGUUGACCCCUGCUUUGAGGUGGCAGAGUUAACACUACUCUUCGUUAUAAGCUCUCGUCUGGGGCAACUCAG
RNAcentral lists this long non-coding RNA (399 nucleotides) under Pan troglodytes (chimpanzee). Its description in RNAcentral is "long non-coding RNA NONPTRT010519". The record is from RNAcentral. Lineage: Eukaryota; Metazoa; Chordata; Mammalia; Primates; Hominidae.